UACGGAGGAUGCGAGCGUUAUCCGGAUUUAUUGGGUUUAAAGGGUGCGUAGGCGGGCUUUUAAGUCAGCGGUAAAAAUUCGGGGCUCAACCCCGCCCGGCCGUUGAAACUGGGGGUCUUGAGUGGGCGAGAAGAAGGCGGAAUGCGUGGUGUAGCGGUGAAAUGCAUAGAUAUCACGCAGAACCCCGAUUGCGAAGGCAGCCUUCCGGCGCCCUACUGACGCUGAGGCACGAAAGUGCGGGGAUCGAACAGG
Molecule: ribosomal RNA, 252 nt
Filed under: uncultured bacterium
Lineage: Bacteria
Description: partial 16S ribosomal RNA
Rfam family: Bacterial small subunit ribosomal RNA
Source: RNAcentral